RNAcentral lists this microRNA precursor (94 nucleotides) under Myotis lucifugus (little brown bat). Its description in RNAcentral is "miRNA (ENSMLUG00000022802.1)". Lineage: Eukaryota; Metazoa; Chordata; Mammalia; Chiroptera; Vespertilionidae. The record is from RNAcentral.
GCCGCGGCCCCGCCCACUUUCCCGUCCCCCGUCCCCGGGCGCCGCGGGCGUCGCGCAGGCGCAGUCGGGCCGGGGCGGGCGGGCGGGCGAGGGG